AUUAAACGCUGGCGGCAUGCCUUACACAUGCAAGUCGAACGGCAGCACGGGGGCAACCCUGGUGGCGAGUGGCGAACGGGUGAGUAAAGCAUCGGAACAUGCCCUGGAGUGGGGGAUAACGUAGCGAAAGUUACGCUAAUACCGCAUAUUCUGUGAGCAGGAAAGCAGGGGAUCGCAAGACCUUGCGCUCUGGGAGCGGCCGAUGUCGGAUUAGCUAGUUGGUGGGGUAAAGGCCUACCAAGGCGACGAUCCGUAGCGGGUCUGAGAGGAUGAUCCGCCACACUGGGACUGAGACACGGCCCAGACUCCUACGGGAGGCAGCAGUGGGGAAUUUUGGACAAUGGGCGAAAGCCUGAUCCAGCCAUGCCGCGUGAGUGAAGAAGGCCUGGUGUAAGCUCUUCGGUGGGAGAAUUGCAUAGGCUAAUACCCUAGUG
This 434-nucleotide ribosomal RNA is filed under the name uncultured bacterium. RNAcentral's name for it is "bacterial SSU rRNA". It matches the Rfam family "Bacterial small subunit ribosomal RNA", at positions 29 to 471 of the family's 1533-position model. The record is from RNAcentral.